UUUUCCUGCUCAGGUAAUUUUUUCUCCAAUACUCCAACUGACAAAAAACUUGUGGUCUAUGUUCCUUCAACCUCCAUUUUUAAGCCCUCUUUCCGUCGUCUCUCUCUCCGAGAAGCUUCCCCUUCUUCCACCGUCUUUUCACUUUUCACCUUCAUCUUUCCCAUGGCGGCCGGCCUCUCCGCCGCCUUAGUGCCCAAACCACUCCAUCUCUUCCUUACUUCCUCCCAUCUCUCCCCUAAACCUCGAACUCCGUUUCUGUUUCCACCUCCUGUCUUCCGGAACAGUAGAUUCCAAUGGAAGAUGCGGAGAAAAACUCUGUUCACUGUCUGUGUACUCGUUGAGGAUCAAAAUAGUUCCGGUGAGGUGGAGAAUCUCUCCGAUGAAGGAUCGCCGAUUGUAAUCCCUCAGAUCCCAUCGCCUCAUGUUUCAGAAAGAUUAGCAAGGAAGAAAUCGGAGCGCUUCACUUAUCUUGUUGCUGCGGUUAUGUCUAGUUUUGGAAUUACCUCCAUGGCUGUCAUGGCGGUUUACUACCGAUUUUACUGGCAAAUGGAGGGCGGAGAGAUUCCUUUCUCUGAAAUGUUUGGUACAUUUUCUCUCUCUGUUGGUGCCGCUGUGGGGAUGGAGUUCUGGGCGAGAUGGGCUCAUAGGGCUCUCUGGCACUCUUCCUUAUGGCAUAUGCACG
Molecule: unclassified non-coding RNA, 682 nt
Filed under: Hevea brasiliensis (rubber tree)
Lineage: Eukaryota; Viridiplantae; Streptophyta; Magnoliopsida; Malpighiales; Euphorbiaceae
Source: RNAcentral